GAUGAACGCUGGCGGCGUGCCUAAUACAUGCAAGUCGAGCGAACAGGCAAGGAGCUUGCUCCUCUGACGUUAGCGGCGGACGGGUGAGUAACACGUGGAUAACCUACCUAUAAGACUGGGAUAACUUCGGGAAACCGGAGCUAAUACCGGAUAAUAUAUUGAACCGCAUGGUUCAAUAGUGAAAGACGGUUUUGCUGUCACUUAUAGAUGGAUCCGCGCCGCAUUAGCUAGUUGGUAAGGUAACGGCUUACCAAGGCAACGAUGCGUAGCCGACCUGAGAGGGUGAUCGGCCACACUGGAACUGAGACACGGUCCAGACUCCUACGGGAGGCAGCAGUAGGGAAUCUUCCGCAAUGGGCGAAAGCUUGACGGAGCAACGCCGCGUGAGUGAUGAAGGUCUUCGGAUCGUAAAACUCUGUUAUUAGGGAAGAACAAAUGUGUAAGUAACUAUGCACGUCUUGACGGUACCUAAUCAGAAAGCCACGGCUAACUACGCG
This 497-nucleotide ribosomal RNA is filed under the name uncultured bacterium. Its description in RNAcentral is "partial 16S ribosomal RNA". It matches the Rfam family "Bacterial small subunit ribosomal RNA", at positions 28 to 507 of the family's 1533-position model. The record is from RNAcentral.